Molecule: ribosomal RNA, 497 nt
Filed under: uncultured bacterium
Lineage: Bacteria
Description: partial 16S ribosomal RNA
Rfam family: Bacterial small subunit ribosomal RNA
Source: RNAcentral
GACGAACGCUGGCGGCGUGCCUAAUACAUGCAAGUAGAACGCUGAAGAGAGGAGCUUGCUCUUCUUGGAUGAGUUGCGAACGGGUGAGUAACGCGUAGGUAACCUGCCUUGUAGCGGGGGAUAACUAUUGGAAACGAUAGCUAAUACCGCAUAACAAUGGAUGACACAUGUCAUUUAUUUGAAAGGGGCAAUUGCUCCACUACAAGAUGGACCUGCGUUGUAUUAGCUAGUAGGUGAGGUAAUGGCUCACCUAGGCGACGAUACAUAGCCGACCUGAGAGGGUGGUCGGCCACCCUGGGACUGGGACACGGCCCAGACUCCUACGGGAGGCAGCAGUAGGGAAUCUUCGGCAAUAGGGGCAACCCUGACCGAGCAACGCCGCGUGAGUGAAGAAGGUUUUCGGAUCGUAAAGCUCUGUUGUAAGUCAAGAACGGGUGUGAGAGUGGAAAGUUCACACUGUGACGGUAGCUUACCAGAAAGGGACGGCUAACUACGUG